AUCAAAAGGUUGCAUUUCUUUCUCAGUCUUUUGACUCCAGGCUGGUCUUGUGACUUUUGGUAGCCAAAGAAGGAACAGCCUGUCACCUGUAAGUUCAAGCCUCAAGAGGCUUUGUCCUCUUUUGCUUCCCCUGUUGGACUUCUGCUGUUUCCCUAAGAACAAGACUGGAGAAACUCCCUGGGAGAAGGAUGUUUGCAGAUAAUAGAUCUUCUCAGUGAAGGAGAUGAAUUCCGAAUUUGGUGAUUAAAGAUCAAGAGUAACACUUUUCUUCCUUUGAAGUUGUGGCAGCAAUCAACAUUCAGAUCCUGAGUUUUAAUGAUUGCCCACCCAUUCACCAAACUACACAUCUGACACAGCUGGUCCAUCCACUUAGGGAGAUUCCUGUGCAGUGUUACAAUCAAGACAUUUUCUGAAUGGCCUGGUUUUAAACCUUAGCUGUGCUACUGCUUAGUGAUAUGAGCUCGAGUACAUUCAUCUCUGCAGGAUGAAGAUGAUAACACUACCGCAUGGUAACAGUGAAGACAAAGAAAUGGAGACCCAGAGGUCAGGAAAUAUGGCAAAGAGGCAGAGCAGAGGAGCUGGGUGAGUCAAGCCUGCUACCUCUGAACACCGCUCAUGGCUUACAACCCCGCAAGAAAGCAUCAGUGCUGCUCUGGGAUUGGGGAUUCUUUCCUCCGUAACGUGGUCUUUCCUGUUGGUGUCUUACAGUGCUUCUUUCAAUCCCGCAGGAAGAAAUUAGAUCUUUUUCAUGCAUUUAUUCAUGUAUCAUUGAAAGCUUGUUACACACAAGGAAUCACCUCACUUCUAGGGUACAGCAAUCAACAAAACUGAUGUGAUCUCAACCCUCAUGGAGUUUACCUUCUAUUGGAGGAGGAGGAGGACAAUAAACAAGGCUAUAAAUAUGCAAUACCAUUCCAGGAAGUUAUAAAUGCAGUGAAGAGAAGUAACACAGAAGAUAGAGAAU
Cavia porcellus (domestic guinea pig) is the source of this 964-nucleotide long non-coding RNA. RefSeq lists it as uncharacterized. NCBI's taxonomy places the organism in Eukaryota, Metazoa, Chordata, Mammalia, Rodentia, Caviidae. The transcript is spliced from 4 exons. The record is from RefSeq and is a predicted model, not a curated record.